GAUGAAGAACGUAGCGAAAUGCGAUACGUAAUGUGAAUUGCAGAAUUCAGUGAAUCAUCGAAUCUUUGAACGCAUAUUGCGCCUUCUGGUAUUCCGGAAGGCAUGCUUGUUUGAGUAUCAGUAACAACCUCAACUCCUUUUCAAUCGUGUUAUGCGUGAGGGAAGGGGUUGGAUUUGAGCAUAUCCACCGGGCCACAUUGGCUUGAGGGAUGCUUGAAAUGGAGGUUCGGCCGACAGUGCCUGGGCUACAAGCAUUUCAUACUUAAUCCCGUUAAACGGAUUAUAUCCUUUGCUGCAGCCAACAUACAGGGUAACUGUCAGUAACCGACUGAUGCAGGAAAGUUGAGAUGGGUUCUUCGGAUCCUAGCCUCUUCUAAACUCGAUCUCAAAUCAAGUAAGACUACCCGCUGAACUUAAGCAUAUCAAUAAGCGGAGGGA
RNAcentral lists this unclassified non-coding RNA (438 nucleotides) under soil metagenome. Its description in RNAcentral is "partial contains 5.8S ribosomal RNA, internal transcribed spacer 2, and large subunit ribosomal RNA". The stretch from base 1 to 120 matches the Rfam family "5.8S ribosomal RNA", at positions 35 to 154 of the family's 154-position model. The record is from RNAcentral.